This 1618-nucleotide ribosomal RNA is filed under the name Cranocephalus scleroticus. RNAcentral's name for it is "bacterial SSU rRNA". It matches the Rfam family "Eukaryotic small subunit ribosomal RNA", at positions 607 to 1804 of the family's 1831-position model. Lineage: Eukaryota; Metazoa; Arthropoda; Malacostraca; Amphipoda; Oxycephalidae. The record is from RNAcentral.
AUGUUGCUGCGGUUAAAGGCUCGCAGUUGAAUGUCAGUUAUAAUACGCGAUGAGAUGCCGGGACGUUGUUCGUGUGUUGACCUUCGUGUCUCGCUCGUUCCGUCCCCUGAGCGCAUUUCUCGCAAUCUAACAAUAAUUACAGAGCCCGUCGCGUUCGUGCAUAUGUGUCUUUUGCUCACGCGAUUGAUGCGUACGUUCGUGAUAGCUCUGUAGUUGACACCUUGAGUAAAUCAGAGUGCUUAACGCAGUCGUUUAAUACCGGCUACUUGUUUUCGACUCGUUCGUGAACUAGUUUGCCAGUGACGGAUUUAUCCGUUUAGACAUUGUCUUUGCUUUGCAUGGUACGUCGAAAGACGCCGUGUGAGUUGGUCGCGCUUACGGUUAGACACACAUUUUUGUGUGCGCGUGCACCAACGAGCACGGAAUGAUAUGAAAGGGAUGGUUCGAAGGCAUUGGUAUUGCCGGGCGAGAGGUGAAAUUCUAUGACCCCGGCAAGACUCCCCGAAGCGAAAGCGUCUGCCUAGGACGUCUUCAUUAAUCAUGAACGAAAGUUGAAGGAUCGAAGGCGAUCAGAUACCGCCCUAGUUUUAACCGUAAACGAUACCAACCAUCAAUCCGUCGGAGCGUUCCCUUACUCCCGUUGACCAGCUUUGCUGGGAUGCGUGGACAAGUGUAAGCUCGAUGGGCAGCUCCUCUAUCACGGAAAACCAGAGUGUUUCGGUUCCGGGGGGAGUCUGGUUGCAAAGCUGAAACUUAAAGGAAUUGACGGAAAGGCACCACCAGGCGUGGAGCUUGCGGCUCAAUUUGACUCAACACGGGAAAUCUCACCAGACCCAAACAUCUUUAAUGACUGACAGACUGAAAGCUCUUUCUUGAUAAAGUGGAUGGUGGUGCAUGGCCGUUCUUAGUUGGUGGAGUGAUCUGUCUGGUUAAUUCCGAUAACGAACGAGACUCUCCCCUGCUAACGAACCUUGUGUUCUUGUAGACAGUGUGAUUCGAAUCAUGAAUAUAUACUCGCGAGAGUUUAUUCUGACGAUGUCCACUGAUCCUUGCUGCGUCGGGAGUGGUACUUUAUACUGGCACUCGGACGCGUGUUGAUCGGAAUUCAUUCUGUGUCUCUCGCAUUCGAUGUUGCUGUUGGAGUUCCUUUCGGCUGUGGCUUGGAGUAUUUUUCUUCUUAGAGGGAUUGUCGGCUAGUAAGUCGAAAGAAACCGAGAGCAAUAACAGGUCUGUGAUGCCCUUAGAUGUUCUGGGCUGCACGCGUGUUACAAUGCCGGGAUCAACGGGUUAUUACACAUCUCGUGUCCUACUCCGAAAGGAGCGGGUAAACCUUUGAAAUCCCUGACGCGUGAGAGAUACGUUCUAUCCGCACUAUGGCUUGCUUGGGACUGGGGAUUGCAAUUAUUCCCCACGAACGAGGAAUGCCUUGUAGUUGCAAGUCACAGAGCUUGCUGCGACUCUGUCCCUGCCCUUUGUACACACCGCCCGUCGCUACUACCGAUUGAGUGUACCAGUGAGAUGCUUGGACUGGCGAACCGAUGUCUUCUGGCUCGGCGUACGACACAAAGAGACUCGAACUGGUGCACUUAGAGGAAGUAAAAGUCGUAACAAGGUUUCC